GAGUGAACUGGGACAAGUCCAGCGCAUAAUCCCGGUGCCUCUGGCAUCGGGAGGUGUUGCGUACAGGCCGUGAGCUUGGGUUGGUCGGAUCGUUCAAGUUUCCCUUGACUGGGGCUCCAAAGAAGGUGCAAGACCUGUUCAACGAUCUGGUUCAGCCAGCCCAUUUUCGCGCGCUUUAGAGUCGGGUUGUUUGGGAUCGCAGCCCCAAGUAGGUGGUAAACUUCAUCUAAGACUGAAUAUGACUACGAGACCGAUAGCGAACAAGUACCGUGAGGGAAAGUUGCAAAGCACUUUGAAGAGAGAGUUAAAUAGGACGUGAAACCGGUGAGGUGGAAACGGAUAGAGCCAGCGUAUCUGUUCCUGCAUUCAUCUACGUGGUAGUCGCGCGCCCCAGCUCUGGCGACUCCAGAUUGGGACGGAGUUGGGGUUGUACACCGCCCGUGGUGCAUUUGCAGGCGUGUGCGCUGAGCUGUUCGAGGUGUUGGGAUGAACUUGGUUUUGAGGCCAGCUUGCUGGUACCCGGACCGGGGGAGUGCCAUUCGCCUUGGGCUUUAUGUUGGAUAUGGCUUACGGGCUCGUAUGGGCGCCGAGCUGGUCGUCGGCGGCGGUCGCAUGCGACACGUGCUGUGCGUGCCAGUUCGGUCCUGUGCGAGCUCACAUGUCCCAGGCUCAGUGUAAGAGCUGGUCAUCUAUCCGACCCGUCUUGAAACACGGACCAAGGAGUUUAUCGUGUGCGCAAGUCAUUGGGUGUUGAAAACCCAGAGGCGCAAUGAAAGUGAAGGCAUCCCUCGCGGAGCCGACGUGCGAGCACGGGC
RNAcentral lists this ribosomal RNA (815 nucleotides) under Pratylenchus thornei. Its description in RNAcentral is "partial large subunit ribosomal RNA". It matches the Rfam family "Eukaryotic large subunit ribosomal RNA", at positions 91 to 762 of the family's 3401-position model. The record is from RNAcentral. Lineage: Eukaryota; Metazoa; Nematoda; Chromadorea; Rhabditida; Pratylenchidae.